GGGCUUUUAGUGUAGCUGACCCAACACACCACACUGUCACUGUGGGAGAUUCACGGGUUUGAAUCCCGUAAGGCCCG
Dallia pectoralis (Alaska blackfish) is the source of this 77-nucleotide non-coding RNA. Lineage: Eukaryota; Metazoa; Chordata; Actinopteri; Esociformes; Umbridae. The record is from the annotation of a GenBank genome assembly.